CCUACGGGUGACAGCAGUGGGGAAUAUUGCGCACUGGAGGAAACUCUGAUGCAGCGACGCCGCGUGAGUGACGAAGUCAUUCGGUAUGUAAAGCUCUAUCAGCAGGGCAGAAAGUGACGGUACCUGCAAAAGAAGCUCCGGCUAAAUACGUGCCAGCAGCCGCGGUAAUACGUAGGGAGCAAGCGUUAUCCGGAUUUACUGGGGGUAAAGGGAGAGUAGGUGGCAGGUCAAGUCCGAAGUGAAAACCCAAAGCUCAACUAUGGGAAUGCUCUAGAUACUUACCAGCUAGAGUGCAGGAGAGGCAAGGGGAAUGCUUGGUGUAGCGGUGAAAUGCGUAGAUAUUAGGAGGAACACCAGUGGCGAAGGCGGUUUGCUGGACUGUAACUGACACUGAGGCUCGAAAGCGUGGGGAGCAAACAGGAUUAGAUACCCGAGUAGUC
This 440-nucleotide ribosomal RNA is filed under the name uncultured bacterium. RNAcentral describes it as "partial 16S ribosomal RNA". It matches the Rfam family "Bacterial small subunit ribosomal RNA", at positions 338 to 795 of the family's 1533-position model. The record is from RNAcentral.